Molecule: ribosomal RNA, 253 nt
Filed under: uncultured prokaryote
Description: partial 16S ribosomal RNA
Rfam family: Bacterial small subunit ribosomal RNA
Source: RNAcentral
ACGUAGGUGGCAAGCGUUGUCCGGAAUUAUUGGGCGUAAAGCGCGCGCAGGCGGUCCUUUAAGUCUGAUGUGAAAGCCCACGGCUCAACCGUGGAGGGUCAUUGGAAACUGGGGGACUUGAGUGCAGAAGAGGAAAGUGGAAUUCCACGUGUAGCGGUGAAAUGCUUAGAGAUGACAUAGAACACCUACUGCGAAGGCAGCUUACUACGCAGAUAUUGACGCUCAUGCACGAAAGCGUGGGGAGCAAACAGGA